This is a long non-coding RNA of Rosa chinensis, 670 nucleotides long. RefSeq lists it as uncharacterized. The record is from RefSeq and is a predicted model, not a curated record. The transcript is spliced from 3 exons. Lineage: Eukaryota; Viridiplantae; Streptophyta; Magnoliopsida; Rosales; Rosaceae.
UUUUUCAAUUUUUCCCCGAAUCCCAAAUCCCUCUUCUUUUUCUAUCUGGGUUUUCUUCUCCCAACAACUUGGGGGGUUUUUCUCAAUCAAAUAUCACAAUGGAUUCUAUCUCUUCCUGCUCUCCUGUUUUCCCCAAAGACCUGGCCAAGAAGAAGAGGACGAACCGGUUAGCGAAAUUGAAGCAGAGCAAGCUUGAUGUUCGCUGUGAGCAGUGGCUUUCACAUGCCCGAGUUGAAGGGCGAUUAGGUUGGUUAGGGAUUGGGCCUGCUUGACUCAUGGAUGUCAUCGCAGAUGACGGACCCGUAACUAAGGUUGCUCUUUGGGAGAGGUGUGGGGAUUUUAUGUCCAUCACCGGCUGUUCCCGCUUUAUGUAACCGUAUUUUAUGGAAUAUAAUGCUUCUUUCUUUCUCAAAAUUUUUUUAAGUCAGAAAGGGAUAUGAUUGUGUUUCUCUAUCCUUAUCAAUUUAUAUUAGAAAUUCAUCAUUCACUUAUCAUCCACUUAAUUAGAGUAGGGGGAUAUAUGAUGGUUUGGUUUCCAUUCAAUACAAAUUAGUGGCAUCCAAAUAGCUAGUUAGGACCUAUAAAUAUUGGUAUCAUUUGCAGGCUUAGCAAAAUCAUCAAAGUAUAAUCAACUUGACAAUAAAAAAUGCACACAAGGUCGUCAAAAACA